AACGACUCUCGGCAACGGAUAUCUCGGCUCUCGCAUCGAUGAAGAACGUAGCGAAAUGCGAUACUUGGUGUGAAUUGCAGAAUCCCGUGAACCAUCGAGUCUUUGAACGCAAGUUGCGCCCCAGGCCUUCUGGCCGAGGGCACGUCUGCCUGGGUGUCACAAAU
RNAcentral lists this ribosomal RNA (164 nucleotides) under Boechera holboellii. RNAcentral describes it as "5.8S ribosomal RNA". It matches the Rfam family "5.8S ribosomal RNA". From Rfam's summary of the family: 5.8S ribosomal RNA (5.8S rRNA) is a component of the large subunit of the eukaryotic ribosome. It is transcribed by RNA polymerase I as part of the 45S precursor that also contains 18S and 28S rRNA. Functionally, it is thought that 5.8S rRNA may be involved in ribosome translocation. The record is from RNAcentral. Lineage: Eukaryota; Viridiplantae; Streptophyta; Magnoliopsida; Brassicales; Brassicaceae.